CAGGGAGACAACAAAAUGUUUAAUAUUAUUAUUUUGUCACCUUAGGUCGAUCGGUAUCUCACAUUCUUAAUUUAUUAAGGAUUUUAUUUCCUAAGUUUUUUCUAGGUCACACCCAUUACUUUUCCUGGGCCAUUAGCUCAGGUGGUUAGAGCGCACCCCUGAUAAGGGUGAGGUCCCUGGUUCAAGUCCAGGAUGGCCCAUAUCUCUAUGUUGGGGGUAUAGCUCAGUUGGUAGAGCGCCUGCUUUGCAAGCAGGAUGUCAGCGGUUCGAGUCCGCUUACCUCCACUGAUUACCACCUCUUGCAUAAUUAUUAAGGGAAUGUUUUGAGUAGUGAUCAAAUUCUGAACGAAUCUAGCUUCCUAAUGAAUUCAUUAAGAUGCUGGACUCAUUGAAUUAUUUUCAUUGUUUUCAGAGAACCUUGACAACUGCAUAGAUUAUUUUUAAAGACAAUAAGCAUCUUUAAUGAUGCAGAUUUAUUAUUUGUGCGAAUGCAUUAAUAACAAUUCUAUUAAGCUGAUGCUUCAAUUAUGAAGUUAUU
RNAcentral lists this transfer RNA (538 nucleotides) under uncultured cyanobacterium. Its description in RNAcentral is "partial miscellaneous RNA". The stretch from base 213 to 285 matches the Rfam family "tRNA". Lineage: Bacteria; Bacillati; Cyanobacteriota. The record is from RNAcentral.